This 2901-nucleotide ribosomal RNA is filed under the name Escherichia coli. RNAcentral describes it as "23S ribosomal RNA". It matches the Rfam family "Bacterial large subunit ribosomal RNA". The record is from RNAcentral. Lineage: Bacteria; Pseudomonadati; Pseudomonadota; Gammaproteobacteria; Enterobacterales; Enterobacteriaceae.
GGUUAAGCGACUAAGCGUACACGGUGGAUGCCCUGGCAGUCAGAGGCGAUGAAGGACGUGCUAAUCUGCGAUAAGCGUCGGUAAGGUGAUAUGAACCGUUAUAACCGGCGAUUUCCGAAUGGGGAAACCCAGUGUGUUUCGACACACUAUCAUUAACUGAAUCCAUAGGUUAAUGAGGCGAACCGGGGAACUGAAACAUCUAAGUACCCCGAGGAAAAGAAAUCAACCGAGAUUCCCCCAGUAGCGGCGAGCGAACGGGGAGGAGCCCAGAGCCUGAAUCAGUGUGUGUGUUAGUGGAAGCGUCUGGAAAGGCGUGCGAUACAGGGUGACAGCCCCGUACACAAAAAUGCACAUAUUGUGAGCUCGAUGAGUAGGGCGGGACACGUGGUAUCCUGUCUGAAUAUGGGGGACCAUCCUCCAAGGCUAAAUACUCCUGACUGACCGAUAGUGAACCAGUACCGUGAGGGAAAGGCGAAAAGAACCCCGGCGAGGGGAGUGAAAAAGAACCUGAAACCGUGUACGUACAAGCAGUGGGAGCCUCUUAAUGGGGUGACUGCGUACCUUUUGUAUAAUGGGUCAGCGACUUAUAUUCUGUAGCAAGGUUAACCGAAUAGGGGAGCCGAAGGGAAACCGAGUCUUAACUGGGCGUUAAGUUGCAGGGUAUAGACCCGAAACCCGGUGAUCUAGCCAUGGGCAGGUUGAAGGUUGGGUAACACUAACUGGAGGACCGAACCGACUAAUGUUGAAAAAUUAGCGGAUGACUUGUGGCUGGGGGUGAAAGGCCAAUCAAACCGGGAGAUAGCUGGUUCUCCCCGAAAGCUAUUUAGGUAGCGCCUCGUGAAUUCAUCUCCGGGGGUAGAGCACUGUUUCGGCAAGGGGGUCAUCCCGACUUACCAACCCGAUGCAAACUGCGAAUACCGGAGAAUGUUAUCACGGGAGACACACGGCGGGUGCUAACGUCCGUCGUGAAGAGGGAAACAACCCAGACCGCCAGCUAAGGUCCCAAAGUCAUGGUUAAGUGGGAAACGAUGUGGGAAGGCCCAGACAGCCAGGAUGUUGGCUUAGAAGCAGCCAUCAUUUAAAGAAAGCGUAAUAGCUCACUGGUCGAGUCGGCCUGCGCGGAAGAUGUAACGGGGCUAAACCAUGCACCGAAGCUGCGGCAGCGACACUAUGUGUUGUUGGGUAGGGGAGCGUUCUGUAAGCCUGUGAAGGUGUGCUGUGAGGCAUGCUGGAGGUAUCAGAAGUGCGAAUGCUGACAUAAGUAACGAUAAAGCGGGUGAAAAGCCCGCUCGCCGGAAGACCAAGGGUUCCUGUCCAACGUUAAUCGGGGCAGGGUGAGUCGACCCCUAAGGCGAGGCCGAAAGGCGUAGUCGAUGGGAAACAGGUUAAUAUUCCUGUACUUGGUGUUACUGCGAAGGGGGACGGAGAAGGCUAUGUUGGCCGGGCGACGGUUGUCCCGGUUUAAGCGUGUAGGCUGGUUUUCCAGGCAAAUCCGGAAAACCAAGGCUGAGGCGUGAUGACGAGGCACUACGGUGCUGAAGCGACAAAUGCCCUGCUUCCAGGAAAAGCCUCUAAGCAUCAGGUAACAUCAAAUCGUACCCCAAACCGACACAGGUGGUCAGGUAGAGAAUACCAAGGCGCUUGAGAGAACUCGGGUGAAGGAACUAGGCAAAAUGGUGCCGUAACUUCGGGAGAAGGCACGCUGAUAUGUAGGUGAAGCGACUUGCUCGUGGAGCUGAAAUCAGUCGAAGAUACCAGCUGGCUGCAACUGUUUAUUAAAAACACAGCACUGUGCAAACACGAAAGUGGACGUAUACGGUGUGACGCCUGCCCGGUGCCGGAAGGUUAAUUGAUGGGGUUAGCGGUAACGCGAAGCUCUUGAUCGAAGCCCCGGUAAACGGCGGUACGUAACUAUAACGGUCCUAAGGUAGCGAAAUUCCUUGUCGGGUAAGUUCCGACCUGCACGAAUGGCGUAAUGAUGGCCAGGCUGUCUCCACCCGAGACUCAGUGAAAUUGAACUCGCUGUGAAGAUGCAGUGUACCCGCGGCAAGACGGAAAGACCCCGUGAACCUUUACUAUAGCUUGACACUGAACAUUGAGCCUUGAUGUGUAGGAUAGGUGGGAGGCUUUGAAGUGUGGACGCCAGUCUGCAUGGAGCCGACCUUGAAAUACCACCCUUUAAUGUUUGAUGUUCUAACGUUGGCCCGUAAUCCGGGUUGCGGACAGUGUCUGGUGGGUAGUUUGACUGGGGCGGUCUCCUCCUAAAGAGUAACGGAGGAGCACGAAGGUUGGCUAAUCCUGGUCGGACAUCAGGAGGUUAGUGCAAUGGCAUAAGCCAGCUUGACUGCGAGCGUGACGGCGCGAGCAGGUGCGAAAGCAGGUCAUAGUGAUCCGGUGGUUCUGAAUGGAAGGGCCAUCGCUCAACGGAUAAAAGGUACUCCGGGGAUAACAGGCUGAUACCGCCCAAGAGUUCAUAUCGACGGCGGUGUUUGGCACCUCGAUGUCGGCUCAUCACAUCCUGGGGCUGAAGUAGGUCCCAAGGGUAUGGCUGUUCGCCAUUUAAAGUGGUACGCGAGCUGGGUUUAGAACGUCGUGAGACAGUUCGGUCCCUAUCUGCCGUGGGCGCUGGAGAACUGAGGGGGCUGCUCCUAGUACGAGAGGACCGGAGUGGACGCAUCACUGGUGUUCGGGUUGUCAUGCCAAUGGCACUGCCCGGUAGCUAAAUGCGGAAGAGAUAAGUGCUGAAAGCAUCUAAGCACGAAACUUGCCCCGAGAUGAGUUCUCCCUGAGACUUAGAGUCUCCUGAAGGAACGUUGAAGACGACGACGUUGAUAGGCCGGGUGUGUAAGCGCAGCGAUGCGUUGAGCUAACCGGUACUAAUGAACCGUGAGGCUUAACCUU